Molecule: long non-coding RNA, 216 nt
Organism: Homo sapiens (human)
Lineage: Eukaryota; Metazoa; Chordata; Mammalia; Primates; Hominidae
Gene: ACSL6-AS2
Product: ACSL6 antisense RNA 2
Exons: 2
Source: RefSeq, a predicted model, not a curated record
UAGCCUGCGGGAGAUGGGAGUCCGGGACGCGGACAGGACGGGCACUUACCUACGAAUAGCCAGAGGGAGCCCCCCGACACGAGGAAGAAGAGAGAAGGCAGUCAUCUUUAAGACAAGGAGAGGUCUUGCAGACCAGACACCAACUCUACCAUCACCUUGACCUUGGAUUUCCAGCCUCCAGAAUCAUAAGUAAAUAAAAUUCUGUUGUUUAAGCUA